GACGAACGCUGGCGGCGUGCCUAAUACAUGCAAGUCGAACGAACUCUGGUAUUGAUUGGUGCUUGCAUCAUGAUUUACAUUUGAGUGAGUGGCGAACUGGUGAGUAACACGUGGGAAACCUGCCCAGAAGCGGGGGAUAACACCUGGAAACAGAUGCUAAUACCGCAUAACAACUUGGACCGCAUGGUCCGAGUUUGAAAGAUGGCUUCGGCUAUCACUUUUGGAUGGUCCCGCGGCGUAUUAGCUAGAUGGUGNGGUAACGGCUCACCAUGGCAAUGAUACGUAGCCGACCUGAGAGGGUAAUCGGCCACAUUGGGACUGAGACACGGCCCAAACUCCUACGGGAGGCAGCAGUAGGGAAUCUUCCACAAUGGACGAAAGUCUGAUGGAGCAACGCCGCGUGAGUGAAGAAGGGUUUCGGCUCGUAAAACUCUGUUGUUAAAGAAGAACAUAUCUGAGAGUAACUGUUCAGGUAUUGACGGUAUUUAACCAGAAAGCCACGGCUAACUACGUGCCAGCAGCCGCGGUAAUACGUAGGUGGCAAGCGUUGUCCGGAUUUAUUGGGCGUAAAGCGAGCGCAGGCGGUUUUUUAAGUCUGAUGUGAAAGCCUUCGGCUCAACCGAAGAAGUGCAUCGGAAACUGGGAAACUUGAGUGCAGAAGAGGACAGUGGAACUCCAUGUGUAGCGGUGAAAUGCGUAGAUAUAUGGAAGAACACCAGUGGCGAAGGCGGCUGUCUGGUCUGUAACUGACGCUGAGGCUCGAAAGUAUGGGUAGCAAACAGGAUUAGAUACCCUGGUAGUCCAUACCGUAAACGAUGAAUGCUAAGUGUUGGAGGGUUUCCGCCCUUCAGUGCUGCAGCUAACGCAUUAAGCAUUCCGCCUGGGGAGUACGGCCGCAAGGCUGAAACUCAAAGGAAUUGACGGGGGCCCGCACAAGCGGUGGAGCAUGUGGUUUAAUUCGAAGCUACGCGAAGAACCUUACCAGGUCUUGACAUACUAUGCAAAUCUAAGAGAUUAGACGUUCCCUUCGGGGACAUGGAUACAGGUGGUGCAUGGUUGUCGUCAGCUCGUGUCGUGAGAUGUUGGGUUAAGUCCCGCAACGAGCGCAACCCUUAUUAUCAGUUGCCAGCAUUAAGUUGGGCACUCUGGUGAGACUGCCGGUGACAAACCGGAGGAAGGUGGGGAUGACGUCAAAUCAUCAUGCCCCUUAUGACCUGGGCUACACACGUGCUACAAUGGAUGGUACAACGAGUUGCGAACUCGCGAGAGUAAGCUAAUCUCUUAAAGCCAUUCUCAGUUCGGAUUGUAGGCUGCAACUCGCCUACAUGAAGUCGGAAUCGCUAGUAAUCGCGGAUCAGCAUGCCGCGGUGAAUACGUUCCCGGGCCUUGUACACACCGCCCGUCACACCAUGAGAGUUUGUAACACCCAAAGUCGGUGGGGUAACCUUUUAGGAACCAGCCGCCUAAGGUGGGACAGAUGAUUAGGGUGAAGUCGUAACAAGGUAGCCGUAGGAGAACCUGC
This 1522-nucleotide ribosomal RNA is filed under the name Lactobacillus sp. MR-2. RNAcentral's name for it is "16S ribosomal RNA". It matches the Rfam family "Bacterial small subunit ribosomal RNA". The record is from RNAcentral. Lineage: Bacteria; Bacillati; Bacillota; Bacilli; Lactobacillales; Lactobacillaceae.